This 300-nucleotide unclassified non-coding RNA is filed under the name uncultured fungus. Its description in RNAcentral is "sequence contains 5.8S rRNA gene, ITS2". The stretch from base 1 to 70 matches the Rfam family "5.8S ribosomal RNA", at positions 84 to 154 of the family's 154-position model. Lineage: Eukaryota; Fungi. The record is from RNAcentral.
GUGAGUCAUCGAAUCUUUGAACGCAACUGGCGCUUUUUGGUAUUCCAAAAAGCAUGCCUGUUUGAUAUCGGUAAAAACCAUGAGCACAGAAUUUAUUUUGUGGUCAUCUAUGGAUGUUUCUUCAAUUUGAAGUCAUCUAAAAUAUAUUUUAUAAUAGUGAACCUCUUAGCCAUUUUAAGACGUGAUAAUAUUUCUUUUAAAGAACAUUUCUCACUUAUUAACAUUGCUGUAAUGUUCUACUAAUAAUUGUUUGUGCUUUACUUCAAUGAAGUGUGUACAACCCAAUAGGUCGGUAUCAAA